UAGUCAGGUGGGAUAAUCCUUACCUAUUUCUCCUUUGGAGGACAGAUAAAACAUGAUGAUUGAAGAUGCAUGAAAUGUUUAAAAUUUAAUUAUUAAAAAAAGAGAGAGAGAGAAGACACAGUUCCACCCAUAGCUGAA
Small nucleolar RNA from Saimiri boliviensis boliviensis (Bolivian squirrel monkey), 138 nucleotides. RefSeq annotates it as U8 small nucleolar RNA. Lineage: Eukaryota; Metazoa; Chordata; Mammalia; Primates; Cebidae. The record is from RefSeq and is a predicted model, not a curated record.